This 45-nucleotide non-coding RNA is filed under the name Schistosoma haematobium. Lineage: Eukaryota; Metazoa; Platyhelminthes; Trematoda; Strigeidida; Schistosomatidae. The record is from RNAcentral.
AUCCUGCUGACGACUCGUAAAUAGGACGAAACGCGCGUCCUGAAU